UAUGUAUAAAAAAAGAAAAUGAUGCUAAGAAAAUACAAAACCCUAUUAAAAAAUCUCCGUAAAAUUGUUAGUUGUAGCAACUAAGUAAGUAAGAAAGACUACAUAACUUGCACAUCAAUUAAUUUAGGGGGAUCAUCCACCUGAAAGGUUUUGAAACAUGAAUAUUAUUAAUUACCCAUAAUAAAUUAGAAGUUACAUAGAUGAAAAAAUGUGAAUUAUGGAGAAUAAUACUAUUGAGUAAUUAUUUGAAGAGGAGAUUUUGGAAUUAUUUUUUAAAAUAUCACACUGAUAAAGAAAAAUAAACAAAAUGCUUAAAAGUUUAGAAAAAAAUAAAAUAUAAUUGGAGGUGAUUGAAAAGUACCACAUAAUCAUAUUUAUAUUUAAUAUUCUAUCUUUAUAUGUAGAUAGAUAAAUUGGUUGUAAUUAAAUAAUAAAGAGAAAUUAAUUUUUUUUUAAAAAUUUUUUUAUUGUAAUAUUUAUAAUUAGAAGAGUGUAAAAAAUAAUCAAUUAAUUUAUUGUAAUGACCCGGAAAAAUAUUUUAGGAAAUUUAAAACUAUUUCAUAGAUAUGAUUAUUAAAUUUAUGGGUAUUUAUUUAGCUAAUUGAUAAUAAUAGGCCAAAUCUGAAAAUUUUUACUUAAAACCCCUACACCACUUGGCUCAUAAUUGAGAUAAGUUAUAGGGAUUAAAUCGUGUUAGAAUAAUUUAGAAAAGGAGAAGAGACAGAAACUAACAUGUGUUUAUUUCGAAUGGAAGACGAACCCAUCUACAACAAAGAAUCAAAUUGAUUUCCACUCAGAUUAUUGAAUGAUUGGUUGAUAGUGUCAAAUAUCGUUUGGACUUUACUGCCGAGAUGCUUCGAAGUGGAAGUGAUGCAUAAAUUUGUUAAGUUUUUUUACACACUGUAGUAGAUAUUGGUUUAAAAUUGAUGGCUUUGGUGAUCAACCUAUUUUUGCUUAAGACAAUAAUACUUUAUGGGGCAUGGAACGGCACGAGAGACAAUGGAGGUAAAGUAAUUGAUUUUUAAAUUACAAAAUUAUGCCGUAGUUUUGAUUUGUAAUUAUUGAAAGAGUGCACUGUUUAAUACUCUUAUUACUUGUGCAAAGAAAAAUAGUGAAAACUCACUGAAAAUUUAUUGUAAUUUUC
Molecule: long non-coding RNA, 1144 nt
Filed under: Solanum lycopersicum (tomato)
Lineage: Eukaryota; Viridiplantae; Streptophyta; Magnoliopsida; Solanales; Solanaceae
Description: long non-coding RNA (SLYC_LNC000776)
Source: RNAcentral